This is a long non-coding RNA of Alligator mississippiensis (American alligator), 14312 nucleotides long. RefSeq lists it as uncharacterized. Lineage: Eukaryota; Metazoa; Chordata; Crocodylia; Alligatoridae. The record is from RefSeq and is a predicted model, not a curated record. The transcript is spliced from 2 exons.
UGGCUGGGGUCAUCUCACCCCAGCGCUCUUUCCUGCCUAGGCAGGAGGUCAGACUCAGUGAUGUGUUGAGGUACCUUCCGACCCUAACAGCUAUUAAUUUUGUGUGCCAGUGGGCUGGCAUUCUGAUGAUGGGGAACUACAAAAAAACACCCAUGGAGAAAACUUCUAAAAGAGAAACAGAUGCCACAGCCAAGUUCACCCCUUUUGACUGGUGGGAGAGAUUGAGAUUCUUUUCCCAUCGUGAAAUUCAGGCCUCGCUUUGGUAUUGAAUUGAAUUGCCCUCGACAGAACUAAAAUGUGUUAAGUUUUGAGGAAACCUUGCUUUGCCAGCUGAAACAUUGCUUUGCACGUACUAAAUGGUUCCCAUCCUUCAUGCAAAGGUCACAGCGUUAUGCUCUUUAAGUUACUCUGGCUAUAUUCUGACUGUUUUCACUAGGCCACUUAACUCCCUUGGGACCAGCUAAUAAGGCUAAUGAUGAAGCCAGCCAUGUUUGUCAGUGCUUGCUUUACAAUCUUCUUCUACAGACCCCAUCACUAUAGUAACUGAGUACCUUGCGUGAAUUAAUUCAGCCAGUGAGAUGAAGUAUUAUUCCUGUUUACAGCUGGAGAACACAAGUGCUGAGUAGCUGCACUUGCACGGGAGGUUGUAGUAGGUGUGGAAUUUGCAGUCAGAUCUCGAGUCCCAGCCCAGUCACAAAGUGGUCAUUUCUCCCCAUCUCCCUGGGUUCAGAUCUUUGUGUCCUAGGUGACUGAGCACAGAGUGGAAAGGUCAGCGCAGGGGAAGGAGGCCAAGAUUGUGCGACUAUAAUUCAGUGGAAUAUGUUGCAAAAUAGGCACCAAACCAGUGUAAAAUCUCUCUUCCCAUGUCCGCUCUUGUUGCUAAUUUCUCAGAGCUUCUGUCUGAGGAGAGCCAAGGGAAGUUAAAGUGCAGUAACCUCCUUACCAUCAUCUUGAAGUAGGGGAAGGACACGUCUCCUGCGCUUCUGCUGCUCACAUUUGUGACGAGAUAUUUGCGCUUGUCUUUGACAACUUCAUUUGUGUGCUUGUUCUGAUUCUUGAUCUUGUCCAAGGUUCUUCAGCCCCGAUCAAAAGGGUAUCCUACCACGCAGUGACAGGAGCAGGCUCGGAAAAAUCCUUGGUGUAUUCACCCUCCUUGGAUCCUGUAACAUUAAAGGCAUCUCCUGAAAGGAUUGUGAAGAUUGAAAUGUUCGAGCAGGUGGGCUGCAAUACCAUUUUGAAGCCUCGUUGACUUCCAGUGGUUCUUUCAUGGAAGGUAACCUUAAGUGGUGGGCUUGGUCUGUGCAGGUAGAUGUUGAAAAGGUUUAAACCAGGGGUGUCCAACCCUUUUGAAUGUGGGGCCGGAUCAUGAACUUCUUAUCACCCAGUGUGCCGGCGAGCCAUAUCCAAACACCUCACAGGAAGCGGUAUCACAUCACCCCCCCGAAACAAAAGUACAGUGUUUACUUUCCUUUCCCAUUGCAGCACCUCGGGCCUCAGAAAGCGGCUUGGUGGGCCGCAUGGCAGCCUGCGGGCCGUAUGUUGGACAAGCCUGGUUUAAACAGAGGAUAUUUUAAAAUGAGUAGUGAUUACUGCUGAUAAUCCAUGCUUCACUAAUACCAAGGGGAUCCCAAGGCAUUUGACAGACUGGGCCACAGCCUCCAUUCCUUGCAGAUGCAAAGCUCCCAUGGAUUUCUCUGAAUGUUUCUGCUGGCAAGGAAUACAGUAUGAAGAGCUAUUUGUGUACUGUGGCCCAAGAAUACAUCCAUCUCUGAUGCGGGAUGGCAGCAGCCACCCAGCCCUCAACAGUGCAGGGAGGAGAAUUGGGGGUAGAAAUUCCAGGGCAAUACUUUUCUCUGGGGAAAGAUACAGAAGGAUCUUAAAUGCUUCAGUGGAGCAGAAGGGCCCUGCACCUAGCACUAUUCAACUUGGCUGUGCCUCAAGGCUGAGAUUUCAAAGCCAUCUCAGAUGUUUGGAUGACCAGGUCCCAUUUGGUUUGGUUCAGCUGGACCAGCUGUAGUCUAGAAAGCUUUACUCUGCAUGCACAGUGGAGGAAAAUGAGUCAGGCUUACAUCGGGCUAAAUUGGCAUGUGCUGAGCUAAAGCUAUUCUGAACUUGAUCACUUCUAGUCAAAGUGAACCCCAGGAGGCCCUAAAAUCAUCAUGUCUUUCCCACCUCUGGAGUUUCCAUUCCUCUUAGAGAUGUGUAACGCUUUGCCAAAGGAGGAGGAAGAGGACUUUUGCUACUAAGCAUGUUGCUCCUACUCUAGGCUAAGUUUAGGGCUCUGGUCUCAAGGGUUUUGAGUUGGCAUCUACCACUGAACACCCUGACAACUCAUUUUCUUUUUUCAGUGACAUAAUUGGUGGGUUUUUAAGCAAUCUGAUUGUGAUCAGCAUGGUGUAAUGAGUUCUCUAACCCCUUGUCCUUGUAGCUGUGGGGAAGGUUGCAUUUCCUACAAGCUGUGUAAUGGGUUAUUAAGCAUUACAACUGCACCUACAGUGCAAUACUGAAUAGCAAUAGUAAAUAGAACUGUAACACCUGGCUGCUCCAGUUGCUCUGCACUAUUGAAAGGUUUAUAUCUUUGUGCCAGUCUGGUAAUAUACGAGUGAUAGAUCCUUGUGGGUUCUCUCAAGGCAGAGGUGAGGCUCAAAUGAUGGAGCUGUCCUUUUAUUUGUGGAUGGAUCCUGUGGUCCCCUAUGCUGCAUGUUCUCUCACAGCGGUUCUGUCAACCUUUUUUGUACCAGGACCCAUUUAUAAAUAUUGAAGGCGAGCCCUGACCCCAUGCCUCACUCCUAACCUGCUGCUCCCUGUCCCCAGGCCCCAACCCCUCAGUGUGUGGGGUGGGGGAGGACUGGGGGGGUCUCAAGCAGACCCUUGCAGUCUGAAACUCUGCCAAACUGCAAGGGAAAAGCCAUGGUUUCCCACAUUUUUCUCUUUUUAAAGGAGAAUCCAUUUUUAAAGUUUGUUUGUGCCCUCUUCACAUAUUCUUGUGUCCCACUUUUGGGUCACAACCCAAGGGUUGAAAAACACUGCUCUACCAGUCUCCCAGAGAGCAAGCUGAAUUUUGACAGUGACAGCUGUUCUUAGGAGGUCUUUUGGGAAGUGGGUUUAGAAGAAAUGAGGCUGGACCGUGUGUAGGAAGUAUUAGGCUGGCAUUUAAUUUGGAGGCAUGUCAAUGUGAAAUGAGAGUUGAUGAAACGCACAAGGGAUGAUGGUGUGGCCCAGCAAGCUACUAUGCUCUUGAGUAGCUGGCUGUGAAACAAGGUUUGUGAACAGGGUAAGUGUGUGUGCAUGCACGUGUAUGCAGGGAGGGCUAUUUGGUUGUCUCUGCACUCUGCCUAUUUGUUCACCCAUGGUAGAGGCAGGAUCUUCCCUACUGUAAGCCCAUGUUCCUCCUUUACCGGGGGUGUGGCACCUGCUGACUCUGCUCUGCCAAUAAAGUAAUUGGAACUGAGUUGAAGUCCUGACCAUGUUCAAAGGGAGCAGGAUUCCUGCCUAAGGAGAAAAAAAUACUAGUGGUAUAACAGUGAGAGUCCAGGGAACAAGUGAGAACGAAGCAUGACUCCUGAGGUGAGGUCCUAUCUUUUCAUGGACUGACUUUAUCGUUGGGAGAGGAGUUGGACAAGCUUUUGGUAAAGGCAGAUCCCAGUCUUUAAGCAAAGACUCUUUGGAGAAGAUUAGAGCCUUGAAGAACUGCUGGAGCACUGGUGCCCAGCGAGGGGGCCUGUCCACCAAGAAAUCUGUUGGCAAUUUCCUUCCUUAACAUCUUUCUCCCUCAUGCCUCAGGCACAUUUCAGGGACAAGAAGCACCAGCAUAUACCUUGCACUCAUUGCUGGAUGAGGCAGAGAUGAAUGAAGCAGUCAAAAGUGUGGUAAGGUCAUGCGGGACUUGGAGGUGAGCUGAGUCUUGGACACCCAGGUCCGGGGCCAUGUUUCUACUUCCUGGCAGUACUCCUGAGCCUCAGCCUCUCACACACCACAGCUAGAGGGGCUGCCCAGUCCUGAAGGGCUCUGUGUUUCUAAAUACAGGGCACUCUGGGGUGCGCCAUUAGGGGGAGAGAGUGCUGAUGUACCAGGUCAUACGCAGGUGUGGAUAUGCACUCCCCCAGAUGGAUCAGAGUUUGAACUGGGGCUGGAGAAGCGUGUUCUCUCCUUGACUCCAGCUCUGCCUCUACAGUUGUGUUUCUCAGUGGACCUCGUGACUGGUAAGGAAGUCACAAUGUCUUUGUCAUCUGAAGGGACACCCUGAGUGGGCCGGGUGACCUAACAACAGGGGCGCCUUACCUCUGGGAUGUACAAGGAGAGAAGCAGAACCUGAAUAGAUGCAUGUAACAAAGCUGUUUUCAUUGCAGGUACAGCUGGGAUGUCAAAGCACCCACUUGAGGCUGCCAUUCCCUGCCCUACUAGUAAACACAUUAGUGCUGGGGACCCUCUGUUCCCUGGGCACAAAGGCAGGAACACCCACAACGAGUUCAUUAAUUCACCUGACCAGGCCUGGCUGCAGCCAGUCAGUUCCCAGGAACUUGCGUGGUUCCUACUUAACUCUGUACCAAGCAAAUGAUAAUGUAAGACUCGGUAGCUGAUACUCUCUGGGUUGGACCCAAUUCAGACCUCGUACAUGGGGUGCUGGCUUCUAAUCAGCUGCAAUGUCACCAAAGCAGAAGGAGCUGCAGUCCCUUUUGACCCAGCACUCACCUGCCUCCGUGCUUGUCUUUGCAAGGUCUCCCUGUGCCCUCUGAUUAGCAUUUUAGCUUCUCUGUUUAUUCUGGAGAGCUGAGUGGCACUGGCAUGUAUCUUGCUAAGCAGAGCUCUUCGGCCAGUUAUUUUUUGGCCACCCUCCUGUCUGUGAUACUGUUGUUUUUCCCUGCUUUUGUUAGGCUGCACCUGCUUGAUGUCUCUAUAACAGCAGCUUUUUGACAUGUGGUCUUUGUGAAGCACCUUGUAGACCCCUGGGUUAAACUCUGUGGUGUUGGUGGUAGCAACUUGUGCUGCUAUGUAGGCAUGGUCUGUGUUGUGGGGGCAGGAAGGGUGGGAUGGGGAGCUUGGAUGGUUAGCCAAGCUCAGCUUCUCUCUGCAUGAUUGCCUCAUGCUGCAAAGAAAGAGACAAGGAGAGGAGAGCAAGAGAAAUGCUUGCUCUGACAUCUAGGGCACCUAUACACAUGCAGCAAGGCUGCUCUAACAUGCUGUAAUUACAAUGUAUCCGAGCAUACUUGAUUAAUUGAGUCUGCUGGAGUGUGGUAAUUACUGCGCUCCAGUAGACUCCACCGUCAUGUUUGACGAGCUUUACUUAAAGCACCCCCAUUGCCGUUUUUCAGCAUGGGGAUGCUGAUGCAUGAGACGCUCUGAGAGCCACUCUAAUUAAAGCACCCCCCCCCCCCCCAUCACUGCUGGAGCGCAUGUAUAAAUGCCCUAUGAGCCCCAAUAAUGGGUUGGUUAAUCUGGACCUGGCCAUCAUGAAUCUCUGGGGAAAAAAUGUUUUGCAGUAGCCUCAGAGGUGAUCUUUAAUGAGGUGAAAUGGAUUUAUGGCCAAUUUGUUUUUUCUGAUUUAAAAAAAAAAAAAGGCAGGACUGACUGCACUAGGAGAAUGAGGCCGUGUGGUUUUUAAGGCUUAUUUUUUUUUUAAGUUUCAGAAACUGUUGCAUCUGCUCUUCCCUGCAGGACUUCUGGAGUGGGCAGCAUCAAAGGGAAAGUAAGUGCUAAGCAUCUAAAAGCUUGCGUGUCCUAAAGCACUGUCUAAUCCAUUAACUUGUAGCACUCCAUCAUGUCUGAUGAACUCUUAUGGUGAUAUCAGGGGCCAUGGCCUUUCAGGUUGGGAGUGCUAGACUGGUGGAUGAGCACGUGGCCUCCAGUUUCUAGGAUAAGUCCCAUGGACAAGGGGCAAGACUGCCCUGAAGACCAAAACAAGAGGUGCUGUGUCCCUCCCUCGUGAGCAGCUGCAAGAAAAGGUGGGUUGUGUAUAUCUUAUUCUGUGUUUUUUGUCCUGGCCUCUUACCAUGUGAUUUGCACCAUGCCAGCUUCCCACAGGCCUGUUGGGGCAAAUUCCAAGGUGCGUAAAGACAGGGUGUAAAUUCUAACUUGGUCAUGCGAGGUGAAUAGUGUGGCAUAGGCUUCUUCUCAGUUACUGAGACUAAACAAUGUCAAGCCUUGUUCCUAUCAGAAGGGCUAGAGGGGACUGAGAGAUGGAGAGCUGUUCUAGCUUCUGUGCUCUGAUACCAUGAGGAUGGGCAGCAGGUACAAAAACUUCAGGAAGACAGAAGGUUGUUGAUGGCAAGUGAUGCCUUGUCCCAUGGAAGGAGCUGUCUUCCAGACACCAAAGCCAUUGAAUACAAAGCAGGGGACCGUAUUUUCUGUUCGUAGUAUAUAUGUGUUCGUGAUGGGAGAAAUGGCCUCUCCAUAAUCCUUGCUGUUAUAAAAUCCUCCCUGAAGGUUAUCUAGCAAAUAACCUCACUUCCCCGCCUCCCCCUUCAGCCCCCAUUUCACUUGGGCUCUGUUUAACUGUGAGGGGAAAAUGUGCUGUAGAUGGAUUAGAUUCCUAAAAGCCCUCUGCCAGCUGAAGUGUAUAUUGAUAUGGAACCAGACCUGCUUUUAGAACAGCAGUGCCUCUUUGUUCAAAGCUUACCCUUCUUUAGGGUUGGAGCAGGAGAGGCAGAGAGAGAUGCGCCCGACUGUUGCAGAUGGACCUGAUUGCUCAGGCCUGGUCAAACAUUGCUCAGUGUAAUUGCAUCAGAAACUCUUGGGCUUUUAAGGUAAGGAAUGUCUUCUCCAUGCGCUAAAGCAUGCUAAUGAAUGGUGGUCAUUGAAUCCAGCCUUGUCAGCGAUCCAGGCUGGGAGCAAGGUAACUUGCAGGCACUGGAUUUCACAAGCAAUUAUUUUUUUUCCCCCCUCCCUCAAGUGAUCUAUACUUUGAUAAGUUUUUUAAUGCUGGAGGCAGUACAAAUAGGGCAACUGGAAGCCCGCCAGCUUGAAGAAACUGAGCAGAGAAAUGUACCAGGAAUGGAAUGGACAAACAGGACUAGAAAUCUGAAUUGACCUUUUCUUGCCUUCCUUUGCUUACAAGAAGUUGUUUGCUCUGCAUAGCACAGUGUUCUCUGGUUUACUUUCAGUAACUGGUUUUCCUUUUGCUUAAUCAGACACGCUUGUGGCACGCAGGAAAGGUCAAGCCGUGCCCUAGUAGAUUUUUUUCUUUACCAGUAAACCUCUUGGGAUAAGAUAGAACCAAUGAAAAAGCUUUGUUGGUCAUUUUGGGGAUUUUCUUGAUACCAGAGUCCAACUUUUCCCUGCCCUAUCUUACAAGGGGACUUGAUGGACCAGAAUAGAGUCCAUAAUAUGUCUCUUGAUUCAAAUCAAGUCUGAUAAUAACUGACCAAUGACUGUCCUGUGAGUGAGUUGGGUGUUUAAUUCAAAGUCUCCAUGUCCGAAACCAAUCCUGCCAUGUGCUACAACCCUUUGGAGAUGGGCAGAACUCUUCUGCUGACUCCCUGUGGCAGCCAAGACUAGGUGAGUUCCACCAUCCAUAACCCCAGAGCAAAAGGAUGUUAGGAUCUGAGGCAAAGGGAACUUGGGACGUGGAUGGAGCAGUCCUGGAAAAAAGACCUAUGCAAAGCCAAGCGCAAGAAACUGCUUGCACUGAGGUUUGUUUUGCUGCUUGUAUUCAAGUUUAUCGUGUGGGAUUAGGGGACUGACACCAAGGGUCUCUAAAGGUGACCUCCCCAGGUAUUAUCCCCCAUUGACAAAUAUGAUCUUACAAGCCACUUGCUCAUGUAGUUAUAGAAUCAUAGAAAAUGCGGGUUGGAAGGGACCUCAGGAGGCCAUCUAGUCCAGCCCCCUGCUCAAAGCAGGACCAUCCCCAACUAAAUCAUUCCAGCCAAGGUUUUGUCGAGCCGGGCCUUAAAAACCUCCAAAGGAUGGAGAUUACACCACCUCUCUAAGUAACCCAUGCCAGUGCUUCAUCACCCUCCUAGUGAGAGAAGUUUUUCCUAAUAUCUAGCCUAAACUUCCCUUGCUGAAACUUGAGGCUGUUGUUCCUUGUUCUGUCAUCUGCCACCACUGAGAACAGUCUAGCUCCAUCCUCUUUCAACCCCCUCCCCUUCAGGUAACUGAGGGCUGCUAUCAAAUCCCCUCUCAGCCUUUUCUUCUCUAGACUAAAUAAGCCUGGUUCCCUCGGCCUUGCCUCAGAAGUCAUAUGCCUCAGUCCCCUAACCAUUUCCUUUGCCCUCCACUGGACUCUCUUCAACUUGUCCACGUCCCUUCUGUAAUGGGGGGCCCGAAAAUGGACGCAGUACUCAGGUGUGGCCUUACCAGUGCUGAAUAGAGGGGAAUAAUCACUUCCCUUAAUCUGCUGGCAAUGCUCCUACUAAUGCAGCCCAGGAUGCCAUUAGCCUUCUUGGCAACGAGAGCACACUGCUGACCCAUAUCCAGCAUAUUGUCCACUGCAACCCCCAGGUCCUUUUCUGCAGAACUGUUACAUAGCCAGUCAGUCCCUGGCCUGUACCAGUACAUGGAUUCUUCCAUCCUAAGUGCAGGACUUCACAUUUGUCUUUGUUGAACCUCAUGAGAUUUCUUUUGGCCCAAUCCUUCAAUUUGUCUAGGUCUCUCUGAAUCCUAGCCCUACCCUCUGGUGUCUCUAUUACCCCAGCUUGGUGUCAUCCGCGAACUUGCUGAGGGUGCAAUCCAUCCCAUCUUCCAGAUCCUUAAUGAAGAUAUUGAACAAAAGCGGCCCCUGGGGCACUCCACUUGAUACCGGCUGCCAGCUAGACCUAGAGCCAUUGAUCACUACCCAUUGAUCCCAACAAUCCAGCCAGCUUUCUAUCCACCUUACAGUGCAUUCAUCCGACCCACACUUUGUUAACUUGCUUGCAAGAAUGCUGUGGGAGACUAUCAAAAGCUUUGCUGAAGUCAAGGUAUAUCACAUCUACUGCUUUUCCCGCAUCCACAGAGCCAGUUAUCUUGUCAUAGAAGGCAAUGAGAUUGGUUAGGCAUUACUUACCCUUGGUGAAUUCAUGCUGACUAUUCCUGAUCACUUUCUUUUCUUCCAAGUGCUUAGAAAUGGAUUCCUUGAGGACCUGCUCCAUGAUUUUUACAGGGACUGAGGUGAAGCUGACUGGUCUGUAGCUCUCUGGAUUCCCCUUCUUCCUGUUCUUAAAGAUGGGCACUCUAUUUGCCCUUUUCCAAUUGUCCAGGAAUUCCAACCGAUUGUCACAUGCUUUCAAAGAUAAUGGCCAGAGGCUCUGCAAUCGCAUCAGCCAACUCCCUCGGCACCCUUGGAUGCAUUGCAUCCAGCCCCAUGGACUUGUAUAUGUCCAGACUUUCUAAAUAGUGCCAGACCUGUUUUUUCACAAUUGAGGACCGCUCACCUUUUCCCCAAACUGUGCAUCCCUGUGCAAUAAUCUGGGAGCUGACCUUGCCUGUGAAGACCAAGGUAAAAACUUGGUUGCUUCCCCCAUUCAGUAAGGGACCCACGCUUUCCCUGACCUUCCUCUUGUUGCUGACAUACUUGUAGAGACCCUUCUUGUUGCCCUUCACAUCCCUUACUAGCUGCAACUCCGAUUGUGCUUUGGCCUUCCUGAUUUCAUCCCUGCAUGCCCAAGCAAUAUUCUUAAACUCUUCCCUAGUCUUCUGUCCAAGCUUCCACUUCUUGUAAGCUUCCUUUUUGUGCUUAAGGUCACCAAAAAGUUAUCUGCUAAGCCAAGCUGGUCACCUGCCAUAUUUGCUAUUCUUUCUGCACAUUGGGAUGGUUUGUUCCUGUGCCCUCAGUAAAGUUUCUUUAAACUACAACCAGCUCUCUUGGACUCCUUUCCUUCUCAGACUGGCUUCCCAGGGGAUCCUGCCCAUCAGGUCUCUGAGGGAGUCAAAAUCUGCUUUUCUGAAGUCCAGGGCCCUUACUCUGCUGCUCUCCUUUCUUCCCUUCCUCGGGAUUCUGAAAUCUAUCAUCCCAUGGUCACUGCUGCCUAAGUUGCCAUCCACUCCUAAAUCCCCCACCUGUUUUUCCCUGUUCGUGUGCAGCAGGUCACAAAGAGCACGGCCUCUAGUUGUUCUCUCCAACACGUGCACCAGGAAGUCUUCUCCAAUGCUCUCCAAAAACUUCCUAGAUUGCCUGUGCACUGCUGUGUUACCCUCCCAACAGAUGCCAGGGUGAUUGAAGUCCCCCAUGAGAACCAAGGCCUGUGAUAUGGAAACUUCCAUUAGCUGUUUGAAGAAAGCCUCGUCCACCCUAUCCAAUGGUCUAUAGCAGAUGCCAACCACAACAUCACCCUUGUUGCUCUCCCCUCUAACCCUAGCCUAGAUACUUUCAAUAGGCCUAUCUCCGAUUUCAUACUGGAGCUCUGAGCAGUCAUGCAGCUCUUUAUACAUAAAGUGCAACUCCUCUUCCUCUUCUCCCCUGCCUGUCUUUCCUGAGCAGUUUGUACCUAUCCGUGACAGUGCUCCAGUCAUGCAAGCUCCCACCAUGUCUGUUAUUCCAGUCACAUCAUAGCCCCAUGACUGCAAGGACUUCCUGUUCUUCUUGCUCGUUUCCCAGGCUCUGUGCAUUGGUGUACAGACACCUGAGCUAACUAACUGAUUGCCCUGCUUUCUCAGUAAGAAUAAGGAGGCCUCCUCUGUUGCCCCUCUCCUCUUGUGCUUCUUCCAAGUCGCCCACUUCCCCUUUAGUCACUAGGUUACCGAGCCUGUCUGCGAAGAUGCUCUUCCCUCUCUUCGUCAGGUGGAUCCAACUCUUCCUAGCAAUCUUUCUUCUUGAAACAACAUCCCAUGGUAGAAGAAGCCAAAUCCCUGCUGUUGACACUCCCUGUGCAGCUAUGCAUUGAUAUGGAAGAAGCACCUGCUCCUGCCUGGGCCCUUCCCCUUGACUGGAAGGAUUGAGAGCACCACCUGUGCUCCCAUCCCCUUCACCCUUGCACCCAGAGCCCUGUAGUCACUCUUGAUCUGCUCAGGGUCACCCCGGCAGUAUCAUUAGUGCCCACAAAGAUAUGCAGCAUGGGGUAGUAGUCUGAGGGUUGGACGAAUCGCAGUAAUCCUUCCAUGAUAGCUCAGAUGCUGGCAGCAAGCAGCAGAACUCCUGCUUUCAGACCUCAGCAAGCAGCAGACCUCCCAGGACAACAGGUCAGGCUGGCAGAUAGAUACCUCGGUCACCUGCAAAAGGGAAACUCCAACCACCACCACCAGUUUCUUUCUCUUCGUGGCAGUGGUCUUUACCACUGCAGGAGGACUGAUGACAACUUCUUGCUGCCAGGGGCCACAAGCUUCUGGCUUCUAUCUUCCUGAGGGUCCGUGCCCUUUUCCUUUUCUAGCACCACCUCUGGCAGACCUUCUUCCACAGUCCUGGAGGUUUCCUCCAGCAUGGAAUCUAUGAAGUCCCCAUGGUGGAGGAUGCUUCAGAGCCUUGCUACUUCCUCCUGUAGCUCUCUUGCCUUCUCCCUGGGGGACACAACCAGAAGGCACCACUCACAUUGCAGGCACGCUGCCACCCGGCUGACGCUGGAAGGAACCUGCAAGUCACAGUCUGCACAGUGCCAAACCAGGACCUGGGUGGAAGCCUUGAUGAUGUGCGGUCCUGCCUGGACAGACGCCUCACAGGUGGAAGCAGAGGAAGAGGCUGGAAGUGGCAGUGGCUCUGGGAUUGUAACGUCCUCCAGCCAUCUCCCUGGGUCUUCUAAUCUGCUGCCUCUCACUUCCUGCCUCUCUUCCAGAACAGACCUUCCCUAGCAAACUCCUCUGUAGCUGGCCUGUUUGCUGGUCCUUGAUCCUGAAGGCUUCUUUUUCCUGCAAAUGCCUUUCUUCUCGGCAAGCUUACAGUGAAGGAAUGUGUGAAAGUUUCCAAGAAAACUCCCUCGCAAACUCCCCCUUGCUGUGGACUCUAGUUAAACAAAGGGAUGAAGUAUUGGUCUAGCUGCUGAGUUUUAGUUGCUUAAAAUUACAGCUGUUUGGCAAUUGUUGAUCCUUCUGGAUCAUGAUGUUUGCAUGAGGGGUCACCUAGACCAAGGGUUGUCAACUGCGGGGACGGAGCACUGGCACACACUAUCCCGCACGCCGCGCAGGCACCACCCACCUGGCUGGACACGCGGCAGCUCCUGACGCUCCGCAUCCAGCUGCACGCCACUCUUCCCUCGCCCCCCGCUCGGCAUCCGGGGGUGUGCUGCUCCAUGUCCAGCUGCUGGGGGGUACAAUGAUUCAUAAAGGUUGAAAACCCCUGACCUAGACAUUUGAUGCAUAUGUCUAGGCAGGAGUUUUGGAGGAGUAGAGGCUGCCCAGACCUUUAGGCCACUGAGCAGGAUCCAAAGGCCAGACUGAGUGCAAAGUUUGGUGCCUCCAUGGCUGUAUUUGUAUAAGCAUCCAGGAAUUGAACCCUGGUCCCCUGUGUGGCAGAUAAAGAUGCUACCACUAAACCACGGGGGUCUGUAAUAAAACUAUGUAUAUUGGUCUCAAUUGCACAUAAAAAAAGAAUCUUAUUUUACAGGCUCCCCUUCAAAGACCGGGGCAGCAAACUGACCUGUGAACUGCUUGCAAACUGUCCUGUUUGCUUCUCCCUGGUUGUCUGGAGUGUCUCCUUGUCUACCUCUCCUGGGUCUGGACUGGCUUAGGCCCCUUUGUUAAGGCCUUUUGUCACACCUAGGCAGAAAUCAAUCAGCAAUCAGCCCACUCAGCUGCUCAGAGCACAGACCCAAGCGUAUAAUCUACCAACCAACCCUCAGCAAGCCAACCACACAGGCAACUCUGGCUCGCUCACCUUCCCAGAGCAGGCUCUGGUGCCUUGUCCCUCUUCCCCUUCCUCCUGUUGCUCCCAGCAAACUUCUUGCAAGCUGUCCUGUUUGCUUUUCCUUGUCCAUUGGCCUUAGGAGACUCUUCCCACUUCCCAAUAAGAAACGAGCUUACCCUAUUUCCAUUUCAACACUGGAGAAAGAGUCAGCCUGUUGAGGUAGGUUUGAAUUUGGGAAACUCAAUUCAGACAUCCCUGGGUUCUGGUCCAUCUUAAAAUAUUCUCAGUCACUUUAAAUAAAAGAGGAUCCUGGUCCUUGAGUGUCCUCAAAUAUAAAUGUGCGAUGAAAUCAAGGAGGGAAUUUGGUACAAUGAAUAUAACAUGUCUGUAUAAUCGAAAGAGACUCUAACCCUUAAAAGAAUUUAACUAAAGUGCAGUUCCAAUAUAAUGACCUUUCCCAGACUGAGUCUCUCAAAACUCUGAUGGAAAAUUAAUUUAUUCUAUUUAUUUUUCCCUUCCAAGUUGAAUCUGCUUUUAUUUAAUGCCAGAUAGCAUGAUUGAACUUUCAAUGGGGCUCAUUUAAAAACAAACUUCUAGAAUUGAUUGAAUUGGAGCUGCCUUCCCCACAUGUAGCUAGAUAGAUGCUUGAAUCUGAGUGUCAUCAGCUAAACAACAACAGCAUCACUCAACAGCUCUUGUUACUUUUUGGCUGUAACUUCCACCAUUAUAGAUUUUUAUUUUUUUUAUUUUUUUAACCAACCUAUUUUUUAGAGCUGAGCCUGGUUUGACAGCUCUCAAGAGAAAUCAACUCCUCAAUAAUAGAUCAUAAAUGCCUAACAUGUGCCUCAAACCUUUAAGGCCUGGAGUAACCACUGCCUAUGUCUCUAGAGCCCAGUCAUCUGGGGGCUGGCUUGUUAGAGACAAGGGAGCCUACUGGGAUGGCAGUGGUUCUGCAAGAGGUAGGGGGAAAUGUGGAUGUACACCUGCCUUUGUUAUCCCCUGCUGGGAACCAGGUCAGCUACUGGUAAAAAUCAGAGCAACCCCAGGGCUGCUCUGACUUUUCACUAGCUGGGCAUUAUCAGAGGCACUGCAGCUGUGCCCCUGAGCUACACUAUUUAGGAUAGCUGUAGCUAGUGCCAAGUGUUUAGCUGAGAGUGCAAGCUGAGUGAGAACAGGGGCUUGUUCACACCUAGGUUAAAAUGGCAGCAACUUAGUGGCAGGUUUUGAACUGACCCCAAUGACUAUCAUAUUGCUCCUCCCUCAGACCCCAUGGCACUGUCCAGUGACCUUUAGUAAAAGAGAGGUCAACUCUCUGCAAAGUCCCUCGGCUUUAGAAAAUGACCUUCUAAAACAAACCGCUGCCUUUACGAGGAGACAAAUGAUUUGUUUGGUUUAUGGCAGCUUUCCCUUCUUACUCUAUGCUAUUCUUAACUUUUCCCUUAUGACUCCCUCCCAUAGUUUCCUCUGCUAGUCCGCCUUCAACCGCCCCAUCACAUAGGUAAGGAUUAAGCAGCAAUCUGCUUUAUGUGUAGUCAAGAGAGGAAGAGCCUUGACGUUUUUUUCUAAACAAUAGUCUUAUUAUGCAUCUCUUGUCCAGGUGAAAUAAAAUUCCUUAUUAACUAAA